ACCUGGGAACUGCAGUGGAUACUGGGCGACUAGAGUGUGGUAGAGGGUAGCGGAAUUCCUGGUGUAGCAGUGAAAUGCGUAGAGAUCAGGAGGAACAUCCAUGGCGAAGGCAGCUACCUGGACCAACACUGACACUGAGGCACGAAAGCGUGGGGAGCAAACAGGAUUAGAUACCCUGGUAGUCCACGCCCUAAACGAUGCGAACUGGAUGUUGGGUGCAAUUUGGCACGCAGUAUCGAAGCUAACGCGUUAAGUUCGCCGCCUGGGGAGUACGGUCGCAAGACUGAAACUCAAAGGAAUUGACGGGGGCCCGCACAAGCGGUGGAGUAUGUGGUUUAAUUCGAUGCAACGCGAAGAACCUUACCUGGCCUUGACAUGUCGAGAACUUUCCAGAGAUGGAUUGGUGCCUU
RNAcentral lists this ribosomal RNA (410 nucleotides) under uncultured bacterium. RNAcentral describes it as "bacterial SSU rRNA". It matches the Rfam family "Bacterial small subunit ribosomal RNA", at positions 612 to 1020 of the family's 1533-position model. The record is from RNAcentral.